Lonchura striata (white-rumped munia) is the source of this 3934-nucleotide non-coding RNA. The record is from RefSeq and is a predicted model, not a curated record. NCBI's taxonomy places the organism in Eukaryota, Metazoa, Chordata, Aves, Passeriformes, Estrildidae.
AGGGAGAGCUGCGCUGCGGAGCGGGCGGCGGAGGGAGGCGGCCCCAGCCCCAGUGUGCGCGGGCGGCGGCGGCAGGCGCUGCCGGCUGAGCCCCGCUGCUCGGUCAGACAGAACCGGCCGCUGGGACUUGCUCCCUCGUAAGGGCUGGGGAGGAGAGUCGCGAGUGGCCGGAUAAAUACGGGGGAGGAGAAGGGCGUCUCUCCCUCCACCUCCUCCCUCCUCCCCGCCGCGGAGGGCGCGCUUGGAACUGCCUGUCUGUCCGGGUGCCCGGGGUGUCUCCGCGCCCUUCCGCGGAGCGGUGCGCGCACGCUGGGCGCGGAGGCUGCUGCUGCUGAAGGUGAACCUCGCGCUCUCCAAUUACUUUUCCCGAGAGAGAAGGAGGCAGCAGGAGGGGGAAGUCGUGCUGUGUGUGGAAGGCACACCAAUCAGAGAUGCUCUAACGGAGGGACUGCUGCAGGACGCGCCGGCUUCUCCUCCUUCCUCUGCCGGCGGGGCUGAAUCGGAACCAGGCGCAGCUGGCGUAGGGGCCGAAGCCGUCUGGGCUGCAGGACUUACCCAUCUCCGCUGUUCCAAUAGAUCAACCAUACUUCGUCCUCUCUAUUUUUUUUUCUCGAUACUCUGAAAUCGUGCAUAAGAAACACUUCAAGUCUUCUCUCAAUUCCCAGUUACUUCACCCUUCCUCUAGCAUCUCUUAGCCGAAUUCCUGGUGUAUUCCCAGAGAGGCGGGGUGUGAGAGCCGGGCCCCGCGGGCGGCUGCUGCCGAGGGGAGCCGAGCGGACGCGGCACGGCGCCGCUCCGUGCCCCCGAGCGCUGGCGGGGCGCGGGGCGUGUGCCGGCGAUGCCCGGGCGGUAAGGCUGGAGCUCCCCCCGGACGGGAGGCGGCCGAUCGCUAGGCAUUUCUAGCAAGAAUCGGGACUGCAGGAUGAAUAAGAGAUACUUACAGAAAGCAACAAAAGGAAAACUGCUAAUAAUAAUAUUUGUUGUAACACUGUGGGGGAAAUUAGCAUCUGGGGCAAAUCAUCAUAAAGCUCACCAUGUUAAAACUGGGACCUGUGAAGUGGUGGCACUUCACAGAUGCUGCAAUAAGAAUAAGAUAGAAGAAAGAUCACAGACAGUGAAGUGUUCCUGCUUCCCUGGGCAGGUAGCAGGUACCACCCGGGCAGCUCCUUCUUGUGUUGAUGCUUCAAUAGUGGAGCAGAAAUGGUGGUGCCACAUGCAACCAUGUCUUGAAGGGGAGGAAUGUAAAGUUCUUCCAGAUCGUAAGGGAUGGAGCUGUUCCUCUGGGAAUAAAGUGAAAACAACUAGGGUAGGUAUGAUACCAACCUGACAUGUUACCAACAAGUAAAAAAAAGAAAGGUGCACAGGAAAUUGGGUGCACAAAGAAGACCUAAGUUGAGAAGACUAAAGAAGCAUGGGAAGAGAGUUGUACUGGGAUUGGACUUCCUGGUCCCUCACACUUUUCUCAGCAUACUUUUCAAUUGUUUGAACAUAGUAAGCUGUGUGCCAGACCUUCUCAGGCAAACGUGUAAAACUCCUCAAGUCCGAAUGGAGAAGUAGAGAAAGGAGGUUUCUGCUGUGCCUGAUGACAAUUUUUAUUUUUUCCACACACAAAAAAUAUUCUGGCUCCGCGUUGGAGCACUAGUUGUGAUGAAUCCUAGUCUUGGUCGGAUUCUAAGGAGGGGCCAGAACGUUCGGUGAGGAAUAAAGAGUCAAACCACUCCAGAAAAUGUGUUCCAGCCCCGGUUUAUUACUCACAGAGCAGCAGGUAACCCGAUAACUAAAGACAAAUCAAGCCAGUCUUAAGGCUGAUAACAUUAAAUACAACACAUAGGAAUUUCAUUCCUCCAGGCAGUCCUUGAAGUGAAAUUUUAUACUGCUGGGGUGUAUCCUUCAGAAUCAAUUGUUUCAAUGAGAACCUGACUUGCAAUCAGCAACAGCCUUGAGAUCAAAACUACUGGAAAGUUAUUUUGAACUUCUAUGUCACAAAUAUUUCAACUGAUUGAACUGUGUACACUUGUAAAAUUGCACUUGCUGAGGAAUUUGCAGCUGUAAUCAUGAUCUAAUAUUCUAAAGGUGCAGAAAAGCAGCAAACUUUUGGGUUCUCCAUUGCAGAUCACUGGCUUUUCAUCUUGAAGAAGUCAAACUCUGAAAUGUAUUGGAUCCUUCACUCUAAAAUGACCCUUGGUCCACUGUUCAGAUUGCUGGUGGGACUGCACACUACUUUAAUUAAAUUUCUUUUGCAGAAAUUGUCCUCAAGCAUGGCACAGUUUUAGGUAUUUUUAUUUGUGUUCUAAUCUUGCAGCUCUCAAAGGUACAUAUUUCAACAUCUUGAAGUUGCUUUCUUAUAGGAAUGGAAUUAUAUAUCCAUUGUUAAUAAUUAUUGUUGACAAGUAAUAGUUAUCUGAAUACAUCAGUUAUAUUAGAAUGUAUAGUCAGGUUGACAUGUUUCCCCAAGGCUAGCCAACUACUGCAGCUUAACAGUUAAAGGAAGUAGUGGUCAAAAUUCAAUUACUACUUCCAUUAUAAGGCAUUUUAUAUCUUUAAUAUAUACAUUUCCAUUUAGUUUGAAGGAAAUGGGUGUACCCAGUAUGUACUUUACUUUCCUAACCUUUAAUUCAUUUAAAUUGAUGGUAAGCAGUCAAUUACACUAUUUCAUCCCUUUUUUACAAAGGUAGGCAGGGAUGUAAAUGAGAUUUGCAAUUAUGAUAUUGGAUGGUAAUAAUUCAGAAUUUUUGUCUUUUUAUUAAAAAAAUAAAAUCUCUUGCUUGAACCUAAAUACUGAUGGAUGCUUAUGUAGAUGUCUGCUCAGUCUGUUUGCCAUAAAGGAAAAAAGUCCUAGUGCUCUCCUAGUUUUACACUUUAUGGGUAUUUUGCUUGUGUACAGUCAUCCAAUUCAGAUCUGUUUGGUUUUGUUAGAAAUUCUUGAACUUUGCGAUGUGUUGUUACAUGAAAAAAUCCUCAAUAUUUGAAGGCCUUAAGCAUCUUUGAGCUUUUUACUAAGUUAUUACAGAAUGUAUAAUUUUAUACUCCAUUUAAUGUAUAUUGUACCAUCUGUAAUGUUGAUACAAAAGAAAUUGGGCAAUUCCUUUUAGUGACACUGCAUAAACACACUGACUAGAGGGAGUUCUGACUGGAUGCUUUGGUGAGUUGAAUUGAAAGCCACAUGCACUUAAUGGUAGUCAAAAAUACAUAGUGGUAAGCUUAAGUCCUGUGUGGUUAGCAAACACAGCAAAAACCCCUCAAAAAUAGAAAAAAGAAAGGGAAAAAAGGGAAUAGAAAUAAAUGGUUUAAUCAUUAAAGCCAUUGACAUGGCUAGUUUAGUUAUAUAUUAAGUUCUGUGAUGGAUGAACACCCUGGCAAGCUCUGCCUGUCACUGUAGCUCCUGCUGUUCCAAAAGCAUUUCAUUACCUCUGCUGUAUUAUUGCACAGGAGAGCUUAAGUAAAAUAAAUGACUGUUGGGAAUAAAACUGAGAAGUAUAUUCUAUCAUUUUGCUGGGAAAUAAUAAGAAAUAUGUUGACAGAAAAAGAUCUUAUUUUCUGAUUAAAAUUUAUUUGGAAUAAACCAUUUGUAGCAGAAACUAACUCUCUUGGUAUUUUGGGAUGAAUUAGUAUUAUAUGGCUUUGUGCUGAGGUUCAGGAUGGAAGGUAGCAUCUUAAAGAGGUUGGGACAGUGCAAACUGUAAAUGUGCUGUUUUGUAAAAUCUAAAUAUUACCUCUAUUUGUUUGAAAAUCUACAUCAUGUUUCUCAAUACAUGUUUUCUUUGUUUCCUUCUUCUUAACCAGUGUUGAAAAUACUGUAUUAUAUACAAGUGUAACACAUGCAUACCAAUAAAUGAAAAUAAAUGGAUUUUCAAAUAUACUGAAUAGAUUCUCUGCAGUAGAAUAAUGUUGUGACUAUUCAUAGCAAGUGAAUAAAAUUGUAAUAUAAAAUAGA